RNAcentral lists this ribosomal RNA (248 nucleotides) under uncultured bacterium. RNAcentral describes it as "partial 16S ribosomal RNA". It matches the Rfam family "Bacterial small subunit ribosomal RNA", at positions 111 to 353 of the family's 1533-position model. The record is from RNAcentral.
UAACGCGUGAGUAACCUCGUCCUUUCAGGAGGGGAUAACGUUCUGAAAAGAACGCUAAUACCGCAUGAGACUACAGAGCUGCAUGGCUCAGUGGUCAAAGGAGCAAUCCGCUGAAAGAUGGACUCGCGUCCGAUUAGAUAGUAGGCGGGGUAACGGCCCACCUAGUCGACGAUCGGUAGCCGGACUGAGAGGUUGAACGGCCACAUUGGGACUGAGACACGGCCCAGACUCCUACGGGAGGCAGCAUG